This 496-nucleotide ribosomal RNA is filed under the name uncultured bacterium. RNAcentral describes it as "partial 16S ribosomal RNA". It matches the Rfam family "Bacterial small subunit ribosomal RNA", at positions 28 to 506 of the family's 1533-position model. The record is from RNAcentral.
GAUGAACGCUGGCGGCGUGCCUAAUACAUGCAAGUCGAGCGAACAGAUAAGGAGCUUGCUCCUUUGACGUUAGCGGCGGACGGGUGAGUAACACGUGGGUAACCUACCUAUAAGACUGGAAUAACUCCGGGAAACCGGGGCUAAUGCCGGAUAACAUUUAGAACCGCAUGGUUCUAAAGUGAAAGAUGGUUUUGCUAUCACUUAUAGAUGGACCCGCGCCGUAUUAGCUAGUUGGUAAGGUAACGGCUUACCAAGGCAACGAUACGUAGCCGACCUGAGAGGGUGAUCGGCCACACUGGAACUGAGACACGGUCCAGACUCCUACGGGAGGCAGCAGUAGGGAAUCUUCCGCAAUGGGCGAAAGCCUGACGGAGCAACGCCGCGUGAGUGAUGAAGGGCUGCGGAUCGUAAAACGCUGUUAUUAGGGAAGAACAAAUGUGUAAGUAACUGUGCACGUCUUGACGGUACCUAAGCAGAAAGCCACGGCUAACUACGU